GGGUUGUGAGGUUAAGCGACUAAGCGUACACGGUGGAUGCCCUGGCAGUCAGAGGCGAUGAAGGACGUGCUAAUCUGCGAUAAGCGCCGGUAAGGUGAUAUGAACCGUUAUAACCGGCGAUUUCCGAAUGGGGAAACCCAGUGUGACUCGUCACACUAUCAUUAACUGAAUCCAUAGGUUAAUGAGGCGAACCGGGGGAACUGAAACAUCUAAGUACCCCGAGGAAAAGAAAUCAACCGAGAUUCCCCCAGUAGCGGCGAGCGAACGGGGAGGAGCCCAGAGCCUGAAUCAGCAUGUGUGUUAGUGGAAGCGUCUGGAAAGGCGCGCGAUACAGGGUGACAGCCCCGUACACAAAAGCGCAUGUGCUGUGAGCUCGAUGAGUAGGGCGGGACACGUGGUAUCCUGUCUGAAUAUGGGGGGACCAUCCUCCAAGGCUAAAUACUCCUGACUGACCGAUAGUGAACCAGUACCGUGAGGGAAAGGCGAAAAGAACCCCGGCGAGGGGAGUGAAAAAGAACCUGAAACCGUGUACGUACAAGCAGUGGGAGCACCCUUUGGGGUGUGACUGCGUACCUUUUGUAUAAUGGGUCAGCGACUUAUAUUCUGUAGCAAGGUUAACCGUAUAGGGGAGCCGGAGGGAAACCGAGUCUUAAU
RNAcentral lists this ribosomal RNA (654 nucleotides) under Salmonella enterica subsp. enterica serovar Crewe. Its description in RNAcentral is "partial 23S ribosomal RNA". It matches the Rfam family "Bacterial large subunit ribosomal RNA", at positions 1 to 688 of the family's 2925-position model. The record is from RNAcentral. Lineage: Bacteria; Pseudomonadati; Pseudomonadota; Gammaproteobacteria; Enterobacterales; Enterobacteriaceae.